UGGCUCAGGAUUAACGCUGGCGGCAUGCCUAAUACAUGCAAGUCGAAUGAGAAGCUUGCUUCUCAUGGCGAACGGGUGAGUAACACGUAGGUAACCUGCCUUACACUCGAGGAUAACCGUUGGAAACGACGGAUAAUACUGGAUAGGACAGAGGUUCGCAUGAAGCUCUGUUUAAAAGCAAUGGUGUAUGAGGGGCCUGCGGUGCAUUAGCUAGUUGGUGAGGUAACGGCUCACCAAGGCGAUGAUGCAUAGCUGGACUGAGAGGUUGAACAGCCACAAUGGGACUGAGAACGGCCCAUACUCCUACGGGAGGCAGCAGUAGGGAAUUUUCGGCAAUGGGGGAAAAACCCCUGACCGAGCAAUGCCGCGUGAACGAUGAAGUAUUUCGGUAUGUAAAGUUCUUUUAUUAGGAAAGAUAGUGACGGUACCUAAUGAAUAAGCUCCGGCUAACUACGUGCCAGCCGCCGC
Molecule: ribosomal RNA, 468 nt
Filed under: uncultured bacterium
Lineage: Bacteria
Description: bacterial SSU rRNA
Rfam family: Bacterial small subunit ribosomal RNA
Source: RNAcentral